AUGUGCCACUCGUACACUGGCGGCUCCUCCGCGUCGUCGGCACCCACCUGACGACUGCCCGCUAUGUCGUGUUAGCC
This 77-nucleotide small RNA is filed under the name Xanthomonas oryzae. RNAcentral's name for it is "sX9 sRNA". It matches the Rfam family "Xanthomonas sRNA sX9". The record is from RNAcentral. Lineage: Bacteria; Pseudomonadati; Pseudomonadota; Gammaproteobacteria; Lysobacterales; Lysobacteraceae.